GGGAUAACUGAUGGAAACGUCAGCUAAGACCGCAUAGGUGUAGAGAUCGCAUGAACUCUAUAUGAAAAGUGCUACGGGACUGGUAGAUGAUGGACUUAUGGUGCAUUAGCUGGUUGGUAGGGUAACGGCCUACCAAGGCGACGAUGCGUAGCCGACCUGAGAGGGUGACCGGCCACACUGGGACUGAGACACGGCCCAGACUCCUACGGGAGGCAGCAGUAGGGAAUUUUCGGCAAUGGGGGAAACCCUGACCGAGCAACGCCGCGUGAAGGAAGAAGUAAUUCGUUAUGUAAACUUCUGUCAUAGAGGAAGAACGGUGGAUAUAGGGAAUGAUAUCCAAGUGACGGUACUCUAUAAGAAAGCCACGGCUAACUACGUGCCAGCAGCCGCGGUAAUACGUAGGUGGCGAGCGUUAUCCGGAAUUAUUGGGCGUAAAGAGGGAGCAGGCGGCACUAAGGGUCUGUGGUGAAAGAUCGAAGCUUAACUUCGGUAAGCCAUGGAAACCGUAGAGCUAGAGUGUGUGAGAGGAUCGUGGAAUUCCAUGUGUAGCGGUGAAAUGCGUAGAUAUAUGGAGGAACACCAGUGGCGAAGGCGACGAUCUGGCGCAUAACUGACGCUCAGUCCCGAAAGCGUGGGGAGCAAAUAGGAUUAGAUACCCUAGUAGUCCACGCCGUAAACGAUGAGUACUAAGUGUUGGGAGUCAAAUCUCAGUGCUGCAG
RNAcentral lists this ribosomal RNA (719 nucleotides) under uncultured bacterium. Its description in RNAcentral is "bacterial SSU rRNA". It matches the Rfam family "Bacterial small subunit ribosomal RNA", at positions 140 to 851 of the family's 1533-position model. The record is from RNAcentral.